This is an RNA transcript of Gymnodraco acuticeps, 5265 nucleotides long. It is a transcript of the gene named protein NLRC3-like, with no coding region annotated. NCBI's taxonomy places the organism in Eukaryota, Metazoa, Chordata, Actinopteri, Perciformes, Bathydraconidae. The record is from RefSeq and is a predicted model, not a curated record. The transcript is spliced from 12 exons.
UGUUUUUAGCUGCAUGUCUUUUUCUAUCUCACUGAACAAAGUCCCUGCAUGUGAACUGCUUCAGCUGAUAAGGCUGGUUAUGAGUCAGAGGAGGAGCUGCAGACAGGGCGGGAAGUUGAAAGUGAAAGUAUGAAGUCAGACUUGUCAGACUGCCAGACGCCAUUUUACAGCUCGACACGAGGAGAACAACAGGACUGGAGAAGAUGAGUGAUUUAAAAGAUGAGGAAGAGGACACAUCUUCAGUCUCCAGCUGUCUGUCUCUGAAGAGUGACAGGUCUAUGGGUUUGCUUCCUCCAGGCUUCAGUAAUGUACCUGGACCCUCAGACACAAAACAGAGAGCAGAGUCUACGGUCUCCAUGUGGUCUCUGAAGAGUGACCGGUCUAAAGAUCUUCCUCCAGGCUUCAGUAAUGAACCAGGACCCUCAGACACAAAAGGGAAGAGGAAGAGUGGUGUUCCUGUGGAGGAGCAGCUGUCCAGCUGUGCUCUGUGUCAGGACGUCCUGAAGGAUCCAGUCUCUACCAGCUGUGGACACUGGUUCUGCAGACAGUGCAUCACCUCAUACUGGGAGCAGAGACCUCCAUCAGGAGACCCCUCCUGUCCCCAGUGUGGAGAAAGACCCAGAACCAGAGCUGGCCUGCAGACAGCCAGUCAGACCAGCUCUGUACGAGCAGAACGUGGUCUGCAGCAGGUUUUAGAUGAACAUAGGCUCAGUCUGAGGAGGAGAUGUGAACGUGUGACUGAAGGAACUGAUCAAAGUGAAACCCUCCUCAACAGCAUCUUCACUGAGCUCUACAUCACACAAGGCCAGAGUGAAGAGGUUAAUACCCAACAUGAGGUGAGGCAGCUGGAGACAUCUUCCAAGAAAGAGACCCUCCAUGACACUCCAAUCAAGUGCCAGGACAUCUUUAGAGCCUUACCUGACCAACAGACUCUCAUCAGAGCGGUCCUGACCAACGGAGUCGCUGGAGUUGGAAAAACCUUCUCAGUGCAGAAGUUCACUCUGGACUGGGCCGAGGGUUUGGGAAACCAAGAUGUCAGUCUGGUGAUCCCGCUCUCCUUCAGGGAGCUGAACCUGAUCAAAGCUGAGCAGUACAGUCUUCUCAGGCUGCUCCAUGUUUUCCAUCCAACCUUACAGAAGGUCACAGCAGAGCAGCUGGCUGUCUGCAAAGUGCUGCUCAUCUUUGACGGCCUGGAUGAAAGCAGACUUUCUCUGGACUUCAGAAACAGUGAGGUUGUGUCUGAUGUCUCACAGCAGUCCUCAGUCAACGUGCUGCUGACAAACCUCAUCAGGGGGAAGCUGCUUCCCUCGGCUCUCGUCUGGAUAACUUCCAGACCUGCAGCGGCCAAUCAGAUCCCUCCUGAGUGCGUGGACAGGGUAACAGAAGUACGAGGCUUCACUGACGCCCAGAAGGAGGAGUACUUCAGGAGGAGAUCGAGUGAUGAAGACCUGUCCAGCAGAAUCAUCUCUCACAUCAAGAGCUCCAGGAGCCUCCACAUCAUGUGCAUGAUCCCAGUCUUCUGCUGGAUCACUGCUGCAGUUCUGGACCACAUGUUGACUACAGACCAGAGAGGAGAGCUGCCCCAGACCCUCACUGACAUGUACUCACACUUCCUGCUGGUCCAGACCAAGAGGAAGAAGCAGAAGUAUGAAGCGGGACAUGAGACGAGUCCACAGCAGCUGACGGAGGCUGACAGGGAGCUUCUUCUGAAGCUGGGGAGGCUGGCGUUUGAACAGCUAGAGAAAGGAGACAUCAUGUUCUACCAAGAAGACCUGCAGCGCUGUGGUCUUGAUGUCACAGAGGCCUUGGUGCACUCAGGAGUUUGUACAGAGAUCUUCAAAAGAGAGAGUGUGAUCUUUGAGAAAACAGUCUACUGCUUUGUUCAUCUGAGCAUUCAGGAGUUUCUGGCUGCAGUCUACAUGUUCCACUGUUACACCAACAGAGACACAGCGGUACUGAAGGACUUCCUGCAGGGAGACUAUAGCAACAGCAGUGAUCAUGAUUACCCAUCCCUGGAUGUCUUCCUAAAGGGAGCCAUGGCGAAAUCCCUCAGAAGUGAAAAUGGCCACCUGGACCUGUUUGUCCGCUUUCUCCACGGCCUCUCUCUGGAGUCCAACCAGAGACUGUUAGGAGGCCUGCUGUGUCGCACAGACAACAGACCAGGAAUCAUCCAGAGACUCUUCAGAGGCCUGCUGGGUCGCACAGACAACAUACUAACAUUCAUUCAUAGACUGUUAGGAGGCCUGCUGGGUCGCACAGACAACAGACCAGAAACCAUCCAGAGAGCCGUCAGCAACCUGAAGGAGAUGAACAGUGGUGACAUCUCUCCUGACAGGAGCAUCAACAUCUUCCACUGUCUGACAGAGAUGAAGGACCUCUCAGUACAUCAGGAGAUCACAGAGUUCCUGAAGUCAGAGAACAGAUCAGAGAAGGAACUCUCUGUGAUCCACUGCUCUGCUCUGGCCUACAUGCUGCAGAUGUCAGAGGAGGUUCUGGAUGAGUUGGACCUGAACAAGUACAAAACAUCAGAUGAGGGGAAACAGAGACUGAUUCCAGCUGUGAGGAACUGCAGGAAGGCCAAACUCACUAGCUGUGGACUCUCAGAGGCUCACUGUGAAGUCGUGGCCUCAGCUCUGAAGUCUGACCCCUCCCAUCUGAGACAUCUGGACCUGAGUGUCAACGAUCUGCAGGAUUCAGGAGUGGAGCUGCUGAGUUCUGGACUGAAGAGUCCAAACUGCAGACUGGAGGCUCUCAGUCUGAUGGGGCUGCAGUUUGUCAGAGAUCAGCUGUUCUGCUCUGAUCUCAGCUCUGAAGUCCAACCUCCAUCUGAGAGAUCUGGACCUGAGUGACAACGCUCUGAAGGAUUCAGGAGUGGAGCUGCUGAGAGAUCUUCUGGAGAGUCCAGACUGCAGACUGGAGACUCUCAGUCUGAGGCACUGCAGUUUGUCAGAGAUCAGCUGUUCUGCUCUGGCCUCAGCUCUGAAGUCCAACAUCCAUCUGAGAGAUCUGGACCUGAGUUACAACGAUCUGCAGGAUUCAGAGAAGCUGCUGAGAGAUCUUCUGGAGAGUCCAGACUGCAGACUGGAGACCCUCAGGAUCAGAGGAUAUGAGCUGUUCAGAGCCACGAUCCAGAAGACCUGUGACAGGAAGUGAAGACACACAGAAAGAACGAGACGUUCCUGUGUCACCGGUUCACGCGCUUCGUCAUGAAGUACAACCUGAUGUCCAAGGACAACCUGAUCGUGCCCAUCCUGGAGGAGGAGGUGCAGAACACCUCGUCAGCGGGGGAGAGCGAGGCCUAAACACACUGCUGCCACAAAGGGAGACACAUGUAACACACACAUGACAUGAGGAGACACAUCCACACACCUUGCAUACACAGUACACACAUAUAUAAUAUAUAUAUAUACACACUACAGUGUCUACAAUAAGGCUCCUUGUCUCGUAACACUGUCCAUGUCCCUCCACCCUUGUCACCUGUGUCUAUCUCAAAGGAAGUGAGGGGUAGCGGGAGCAGAGUUCAGCCAUGCCUGCAGGACAAGUUGACGUUUUCUAUCCUCCUCCCUCUCGCUCUGUGUGUUCAGAUCCACUCUGGGGGUCUGCGUGCAGCCCCUGCUCUCACACUCCUCCUCCUGGGGAAACCCCUUUUACCUUUAAUGUUCUUUAAGCAGCUGGAUUUGCAAAAAUGUAAUCAUGGUGACCUGUAUUGUUGACAAAGGCACACGCUGACAGCCCCUCCCUCUGUAUAUAACCCCCCCCUCUCUCUUAAUUCACUACCAUCAUGUUUUCUGAUGGUGCUUCACUUUUUCGUGUCUGCUUCUGUUUCUCUGUUCGCUUAUUGUGUUUCCUACCAGCCUGUUUUUCGGGGGGUCGUCCUCUGAAAUGGAUCAAUAAAGUAGCCUGCUGACUUAAAGGGAUAGAUCAGAUUGUGUGUGGGGUUGUCGCAUAUCCAUAGUUCAGGUAUGACCGACAGUAACUGCUCUCUAAAAGCCACCAAACUCCAUCGUCAGAAACCAGUUAUUUUUUACAUCGCUGAACACAGAAGUUUCUCGCCUUCUGCUGCCUCAACUAGUACGGCUUUUUUUGGUGGUAUUUUGUGACUUUAGUGUUUAAAGUAGUUAGUUUGGAUUCACUGACGUCACACGAUUUACACAAAAUAACUAACUGAUAGAGGCAGAAGUAGAACAGCAACGCCUUUUUGUUCUGCGAUUUAUAAAAUCACUGCUUUUAUCGAUGGCGUCUGGCUUUGGCGAGAGCGUCACAAAAAUGCUUUGGGUCCUCGUUUUGACGGCAAGGUUAAGCAGAGGAAAAUAUCGUCAUCUACUGUAGGUAAUACACUUUUAUACAACCCUACUUUAAAACACAAACAUCCCUUUUUAAUGAUGCCAGUGAAGCACGAAACGUAGGUGUGUGUGUGGCUUGUGUGGUAGUGAACAAAGACAAACGUAACCGUGCAGUCAGAUAUUCUUUCUCAUCUCUGAAGUGUUUUUCAGAUCAUUCAGGAACUCUGAUCCUGCUGAGUCGCCCCCAUUUUAAUACCGUGUGAAAUGUGUCGGAUAUUCCCCUUUCCUCGACAGGGCUGGGUCUGAGGGUCACAUGGGACUGAGCUGCUGUAAGCCGGUCUUUCCUAACGCAUUAAGACGAGUAAAAUACAAGGAAAGGAGGAAAUAUCAGAUACAUUUACGUGUCGGAGCACAACCCCCCCCCCCCUUUAUUUUACCCUCCCCCUCAUUAAGUUAUUUUGUGGGAGGAGUCUUGUCAAUCCAAACCCACUUUUUUUUAAUGGACUAAAAUAAUUUUGUUACUGUCGACAUUUUCAUGAUGUCUGUUAAUAAAAAAGAGCUAUUAGUCAGGUGUUUGUGUGGCUGUGUUAUCAUUCAUGGGGCUUUCCAGUGAUGGGUCUGAACCAAAUGUGUGAUUUCCAAUAACUACGGCGUUAAGACCAAAAGUAAAACAAAUAAUACUGGAAAAAUAGGAAUACGCAUUUCCAAAAAAUGACAUGUUUUUGAUUUGUAUUCUGCUUCAAUCCAUAUUUGUUAGGCUAUUUUAAUUUGUGGUUAAGACGUGUCUCUGGCCGCUGAAAGGGAUCCACUGAAGAUUUAUAUUGAAGUUGUUUUAACAGGGUGUCCGCGGGGUCUUAAAAACAGGGUUCGUACGGGUACAUUUCAUGUGGUGUUUUCAAGGUUUGAAAAGUGCUUGGAUUUUGGAGAAAGUGCUUGAAAAUCUACUUGCUUUACUUUUAUAAUAAAUUGAUGUCUGGCUGAA